CAUGUAGGCGGUCUGUCAAGUCUGAUGUGAAAGCCCGGGGCUCAAUCCCGGAAGUGCAUUGGAAACUGGCAGACUUGAGUACGGGAGAGGAAAGUGGAAUUUCGAGUGUAGGGGUGAAAUCCGUAGAUAUUCGAAGGAACACCAGUGGCGAAGGCGGCUUUCUGGACCGAUACUGACGCUGAGAUGCGAAAGCGUGGGGAGCAAACAGGAUUAGAUACCCUGGUAGUCC
RNAcentral lists this ribosomal RNA (229 nucleotides) under uncultured bacterium. RNAcentral's name for it is "partial 16S ribosomal RNA". It matches the Rfam family "Bacterial small subunit ribosomal RNA", at positions 568 to 796 of the family's 1533-position model. The record is from RNAcentral.